Molecule: long non-coding RNA, 521 nt
Organism: Helianthus annuus (common sunflower)
Lineage: Eukaryota; Viridiplantae; Streptophyta; Magnoliopsida; Asterales; Asteraceae
Exons: 4
Source: RefSeq, a predicted model, not a curated record
GUUUCGCCUAUGUAAUUUGUUUGCUUUAUUAAAUGCGAUUUUGUUUUUCUUGGAAAAAAUGCAUUGGCUGCUCAAGAAAAGGAUUUGGAAAUUGCAAGCGGAUUGGGUAUUAAGAUUACUGUAGGUGUAGCGCACCAGUUUGAUAGUGCCAAAGCAGGUCUUUGUUCUAAUUUGAGAAAUCUAAACGAUGUAAGAAUUCAGUUUACUUGACUCUUAUUGUUGCCACAUUGAUAAUUAGAACGAUUUCCCUCUUUCACAUUGGAUGAUGCAUACAGGGUAUAAGCAUGUAUCUAGGGGCAGCUCCUAUUGAAGUACAAUCCUGAUGUUGUCACCGCUUCUUGGGUUGCUGAUGCUUCCUUAUUUCUAGCUCCAAUGGUCUAUGAACUCGGGUGGAACUGGGAUGACUUCUCGCUGUUAGCCCAGGGCUCUUUGGCUGGACACCUGCUAGAAUGCGGCUGUCAACUCACUGGAGGAUAUUUUAUGCAUCCAGGUCAAUGUGGAUCACAUGAAGCUCCAAAAAG